GAUGAACGCUGGCGGCGUGCUUAAUACAUGCAAGUCGAACGAGGAACUUUUGUCUUCGGAUAGAGGUUUCCUAGUGGCGAACGGGUGAGUAACGCGUUGGUGACCUGCCCCGAAGUGGGGGAUAACAGUUCGAAAGGGCUGCUAAUACCCCAUGCCGUCAUGGCGCUUAGAAAGCCAUGCCGAAAGGUGCAAACCGCUCUGGGAGGGGCCUGCGUCCCAUCAGCUAGUUGGUAGGGUAAUGGCCUACCAAGGCGACGACGGGUAGGGGACCUGAGAGGGUGACCCCCCACACUGGCACUGAAACACGGGCCAGACACCUACGGGUGGCAG
RNAcentral lists this ribosomal RNA (330 nucleotides) under uncultured Chloroflexota bacterium. RNAcentral describes it as "bacterial SSU rRNA". It matches the Rfam family "Bacterial small subunit ribosomal RNA", at positions 28 to 351 of the family's 1533-position model. Lineage: Bacteria; Bacillati; Chloroflexota. The record is from RNAcentral.